This is a long non-coding RNA of Drosophila sechellia, 151 nucleotides long. RefSeq lists it as uncharacterized. NCBI's taxonomy places the organism in Eukaryota, Metazoa, Arthropoda, Insecta, Diptera, Drosophilidae. The record is from RefSeq and is a predicted model, not a curated record. The transcript is spliced from 2 exons.
CAUAUACCUAUUUGGGUUUUAAACGCCCCGAUUACUCUGGGAGUAACGGGUAAGAGCGGAUCUUCUUCUCAGCGCAUCAAGGAAGAGUAACAUUUUUCAAAAGUUAACAAUAUCAUUUAUAGCUGACAAACAUCGGUGCUUAUCGGGCAUA